AUUGAACGCUGGCGGCAUGCUUUACACAUGCAAGUCGAACGGGGUGGAGGGGCAACUCUUCAUCUAGUGGCGAACGGGUGAGUAAUGCAUCGGAACGUGUCCCGUAGUGGGGGAUAACCCGGCGAAAGCCGGACUAAUACCGCAUAUGCUCUACGGAGGAAAGCAGGGGACCUGAGAGGGCCUUGUGCUAUGGGGGCGGCCGAUGUCCGAUUAGCUUGUUGGUGGGGUAAUGGCCUACCAAGGCGACGAUCGGUAGCUGGUCUGAGAGGA
Molecule: ribosomal RNA, 270 nt
Filed under: uncultured bacterium
Lineage: Bacteria
Description: partial 16S ribosomal RNA
Rfam family: Bacterial small subunit ribosomal RNA
Source: RNAcentral